UUAAUUGCAUUAUUGUUUUAAUAAUUUUUCGUUAAAAAAUAGUUUUUUUUUAAGUUUUUUUUUCUCAUUUUACUGUUUAUUUUCAACCAUAACCCUGAACUUUGAAUUUAUUUAAGGGUACCUGCUGGUAGUGUGUGGUCCAGACCGUAAGUUUCGAGAGGUGAGGCAGUAAAACCCUUGAUUUAGUACACUGUAGUUGUUGUUAAGAAAAUAAACAAUAAGGGGGAGGAUAGAGAUAGAGAGUAAGUGAGAAACUGAAAAAUAACUAGUUCGGUAAAAUAAAG
Molecule: long non-coding RNA, 284 nt
Filed under: Lathyrus oleraceus (garden pea)
Lineage: Eukaryota; Viridiplantae; Streptophyta; Magnoliopsida; Fabales; Fabaceae
Description: Pisum sativum (pea) long non-coding RNA (PSAT_LNC016047)
Source: RNAcentral